RNAcentral lists this ribosomal RNA (326 nucleotides) under uncultured eukaryote. RNAcentral describes it as "partial 18S ribosomal RNA". It matches the Rfam family "Eukaryotic small subunit ribosomal RNA", at positions 1470 to 1796 of the family's 1831-position model. The record is from RNAcentral.
CCCUUAGACGUUCUGGGCCGCACGCGCGCUACACUGAUGCAUUCAACAAGCCUAGCCUUGACCGAGAGGUCCGGGUAAUCUUUGAAACUGCAUCGUGAUGGGGCUAGAUUAUUGCAAUUAUUAAUCUUCAACGAGGAAUGCCUAGUAAGCGUGAUUCAUCAAAUCGCGUUGAUUACGUCCCUGCCCUUUGUACACACCGCCCGUCGCUCCUACCGAUUGAAUGUGUUGGUGAGGAGCUCGGAUUGGCAGCAGUUGGUGGUUCGCCACCGGCUAUUGCUGAGAAGUCCUCCAAACCGCCCCAUUUAGAGGAAGGAGAANUCGUAACA